UACCACAGCUAUCGUUAUUAUCACUGUUAUUAUUAUUUGCCGAGCCCCCCGUACGCCACGCUGCACUAGGAAGUACAGAAGAAGCGACGUCCCCCCGUCACGAGGAGCUUACGUCGGAAGGGUUGCCCACUCGGAGUCAAAGACCAUCAACGAUUUGGACGCUCAGUAAAACACGCGAGAUUGUCGCGGACUAUCAUCGCUAACGCUAGGUGCGGCUCUCGCGUGUCCGCGGGAAGGAGUCCUCGGUAACCCCCAAGAAUGCACGGCGACGAGGUCGGAACCAGGGCGCCCGCUCGGAGGUUCGAAACGAGCUACGAAAUCGUGACCGGACUACCGAAGGCGAUCGAAACGUGAUAGAGUAUGGAGAUUUCGGAGGAAGAGGGCGUGCUAGGUGACGCUCGUCGGCGUAUCGUCACCCAGCAGACCCGUCGAACGCCAGCUAUUUAAUAAUAACGAUGGCGUUGGUUAAGCGCCCGCUGUGCGCGAAGCACCGUUCUUCCGGCUGUUUCGCGGUAGGACCCGCGUCUGGAUUCCGGCGCGCCGAGGGCUUUCUCUUUGCGUGCCAGAAAUGCGGCACGCCCUGCCUAAAUACAGCUCCGUAAAAGAA
Long non-coding RNA from Ornithorhynchus anatinus (platypus), 607 nucleotides. RefSeq lists it as uncharacterized. The transcript has 2 exons. NCBI's taxonomy places the organism in Eukaryota, Metazoa, Chordata, Mammalia, Monotremata, Ornithorhynchidae. The record is from RefSeq and is a predicted model, not a curated record.